AGAGCGAACGCUGGCGGCAGGCUUAACACAUGCAAGUCGAGCGGGCGUAGCAAUACGUCAGCGGCAGACGGGUGAGUAACGCGUGGGAACAUACCUUUUGGUUCGGAACAACACAGGGAAACUUGUGCUAAUACCGGAUAAGCCCUUACGGGGAAAGAUUUAUCGCCGAAAGAUUGGCCCGCGUCUGAUUAGCUAGUUGGUGAGGUAACGGCUCACCAAGGCGACGAUCAGUAGCUGGUCUGAGAGGAUGAUCAGCCACAUUGGGACUGAGACACGGCCCAAACUCCUACGGGAGGCAGCAGUGGGAAUAUUGGACAAUGGGCGCAAGCCUGAUCCAGCCAUGCCGCGUGAGUGAUGAAGGCCCUAGGGUUGUAAAGCUCUUUUGUGCGGGAAGAUAAUGACGGUACCGCAAGAAUAAGCCCCGGCUAACUUCGACGCCAGCCAGCCGC
This 449-nucleotide ribosomal RNA is filed under the name uncultured bacterium. Its description in RNAcentral is "SSU rRNA". It matches the Rfam family "Bacterial small subunit ribosomal RNA", at positions 26 to 518 of the family's 1533-position model. The record is from RNAcentral.